Long non-coding RNA from Saccostrea cuccullata (small rock oyster), 1095 nucleotides. RefSeq lists it as uncharacterized. The transcript has 2 exons. Lineage: Eukaryota; Metazoa; Mollusca; Bivalvia; Ostreida; Ostreidae. The record is from RefSeq and is a predicted model, not a curated record.
AAAAACAUCCUUGAGAAACUGUUGAGAGAAAAUCCAAUUUGUGGCAUGUAUUACCUAACUCAUGUCCUGAUGAAAGAGGCUAUAGUCUUUGGUGUGUGCUUGCGAACUGGCUUGCCAAUGGAAGAGGCAGAGAAAAGAUGUAAAGAAACAGAAACUUCUAUGAAAAAGGCCAAAAGAAAAGAUUAAAAUCUUUACAUAACUGCAUGCUAAUAAUUUGCAGUCUUCAUCUUAGAUAGUUAAUGUCAAGUUUUUAAUCCAUUGCCGAUACAUUUAGUAAUAAUAACUAUAUAUUCUAUAUUCAAGUGAAAUAUCAUGUGUGAGUGUAUAAUCUCGGAGGCGGUAAUAGGCCGCUCAGCAUGUAUAUUUAUGUAUCUAUUCUAUAUAUUCAAGUGAAAAUAUCAUUAUAACGUGUAUAUAAUCUCGGAGGCGGUAAUAGACCGCUCAGCAUGUAUAUUUAUGUAUCUAUUCUAUAUAUUCAAGUGAAAAAUCAUGUGUGAGUGUAUAAUCUCGAAGGCGGUAAUGGGCCGCUCAGCAUGUAUAUUUAUGUAUCUAUUCUCUAUAUUCAAGUGAAAUGUCAUGUGUGAGUGCAUAAUCUCGGAGGCGGUAAUAGGCCGCUCAGCAUGUAUAUUUAUAUAUCUAUUCUAUAUAUUAAAUUGAAAAUAUCAUUAUAAUGUGUAUAUAAUCUCGGAGGCGGUAAUAGACCGCUCAGCAUGUAUAUUUAUGUAUCUAUUCUAUAUAUUCAAGUGAAAAAUCAUGUGUGAGUGUAUAAUCUCGAAGGCGGUAAUGGGCCGCUCAGCAUGUAUAUUUAUGUAUCUAUUCUAUAUAUUCAAGUGAAAAUAUCAUUAUAAUGUGUAUAUAAUCUCGGAGGCGGUAAUAGGCCGCUCAACAUGUAUAUUUAUGUAUCUAUUCUAUAUAUUCAAGUGAAAUAUCAUGUGUGAGUUCAUAAUCUUGCAGGCGGUAAUAGGCCGCUCAACAUGUAUAUUUUUAUGUAUCUAUUCUAUAUAUUCAAGUGAAAAUAUCAUUAUAAUGUGUAUAUAAUCUCGGAGGCGGUAAUAGGCCGCUCAACAUGUAUAUUUAUGUAUCUAUUCUAUAUAU